Long non-coding RNA from Engraulis encrasicolus (European anchovy), 1897 nucleotides. RefSeq lists it as uncharacterized. The transcript is spliced from 3 exons. Lineage: Eukaryota; Metazoa; Chordata; Actinopteri; Clupeiformes; Engraulidae. The record is from RefSeq and is a predicted model, not a curated record.
UAUUGGGAUAAAGAACAUGAGUGAGGUGGUACUCAUACUAUGACAAAAAUGCUUAGGGGGUACUCAAGACGAAAAAGGUUGGGAGACACUGAUGUAUGCCCAGAUCAUGUACGCCCAGAGCAAAGUCACAGGCAGUGUGCUUCUCUUGCAUUCACAGACUGCCCAUGCUUUUUUAAAGAGAUAAGUUAGAAUGCUUUGCAUAUCUAUUUGUGUAGAGUUAAUCACCAAGACAAUUUCCAGAAGUUGUAUCCAGGUGUCAAUUGUGUCCUUGUUCUGGUGUUGUUAUUUUCAAACAGAGAUGGCUCUUGCUCACUGGCAGUGACUUGGGUCAUGUGAGACAGCAUCAGAGCUCGGGUGACAUCUCUCGCUCGGGUGAAAUCUCUCCUGGAAGAUUUCAAGGUGUGUGCAGAGUUCUGAAGAAUAAAAGUCAACAGUCAAGUUCUUCUCCAUAUUCUCCAAAUCUGACGGAGGCGUUCCAUCAGGAAAGGGGGAAUGGUUGGUCGAUGCCUCCAGAAUAAUGAUACCCAUGACCCAGGCACAACAUGCUGACAGGGAAUCGGCUAUGGCAGAAAGCAUCCAUGCCAUCUACGUGAUCCGCCAUGAAGGUUCAGAAGCUACUGACAUUUGGCUGCAUUUGGCUGCUUGCCAAACAUCCUACCCAGGCUCCGCCCUCGCAGUGACGCAACACCUUCGGCUCUGCUACACACACUCAGGAAAACUUUGUUCAGGUACUUUCGGGUUCCCUCCACAGCAGGAAACUCCACCCACUUUGUCGGGAAGCAAUCGACUUUCAGCAUCACCAACCGUCCUGGCUAGAGGCGUGUUCAAGGAAGUGACAAGGUUUGAGCAGAGACGCUCUAUUGGGACUAAGAAAAUGUUUGGUUUAAACUUUGGCUCAGCCUGUUCAGCCCUCGACCAGUAGCAAAUCAUGAGAGUUGGGUCAACCAUGCCGUUUGAGAAUGUUGUUAUGCUCUUGGUCAGACCAAGUCUCGAAGAGAUUUGUAAGUCAUGAUAAUCAGGUUACAAAUAUUCACUUACAGUGGCCAUAUUUCUUGCCCUUGUUUACGCACUAAACUUGUUAUCCUCCUUGAAAGUUGUGUGUGUGUGUGAGUAAUAAUGCAGACAUAAUAAUAACAAUUGACUAGAAGUACAAAUACACAUUUCUACAUUAUUGCUCACACACAGCUUUUGGUAAAACAUUACUGAAAUGGCCAAACACCUUUUAUGCAUUUUUUAAUAAAGAGUCAUUGCAUUGAGCAGAUCAUUGAGAGGCUCUGAAGUCCACUACACUAUUCUUAACUUGUGUGCGUGCGUACCUCCUCAAGCACAUAUACAGCACUCUAUUUUUAACAUUUUUUAGAAAUGUUUUUCUUUUUUUUUGACUUAACAACCUGUUAAAAACACAGCGUUAAACUUUGGCUUUUUUCGCACACCUCAGCUGGCAGGUGCGUCGGAGAUGGCACCAUGGGUCACUCAGCAAUAGUUUAAAGAAACUCCCGCACACUGACCAUUUCGCUCUUCUAUCUUUAAUAAACUUAAAUUUAUUAAAGAAAGAACAGCGAAAUGGUCAGUGUGCGGGAGUUUCUUUAAACAAAAACACAGCGUUACAAAUUUGUUGUUACUAGAAUGGCAAGGACAGUCAUAGUGCAUUACUAAAGGCCCUGUGUUAUGUCAUCGUAGACAAGUAUUAUGGUAAUUAACCUUUCAAUGACUGUUGGUGUGCUACUGGUGGUAUGGAAUGCAUUAUUGGCCUACAACACACGUGUACGCUCUUGUAUGUAAGUGUUUAAAAUGUUUUUUUGUUUAUUUUUUAUUUAUUACCCUCAAGACAAUUUUGUGUUUUGGUUAAUGGCCUGGGGAAUGUGUUGAUUAAAAUAAAAAAAAAACAAAUCUUCAA